UUGAAAAGUGCGGGGAUGAGGUGUGGGUAGCGGUGAAAUGCCAAUCGAUUGAAAAGUGCGGGGAUGAGGUGUGGGUAGCGGUGAAAUGCCAAUCGAACCUGGAGAUAGCUGGUUCUCCCCGAAAUAGCUUUAGGGCUAGCCUCGAGGUUGAGAGUUCUGGAGGUAGAGCACUGAUUGGACUAGGGGCCCCCACAGGGUUACCGAAUUCAGUUAAACUCCGAAUGCCAGCAACUUAUACUCGGGAGUCAGACUGCGAGUGAUAAGAUCCGUAGUCAAGAGGGAAACAGCCCAGACCGCCAGCUAAGGUCCCMAAGURUAYGUUAAGUGGAAAAGGAUGUGGMGYUGCYUAGACARCYAGGAUGUUGGCUYAGAAGCAGCCAYCAUUYAAAGAGUGCGUAAUAGCUCACUAGUCGAGUGGCGCCGCGCCGAAAAUGUAACGGGGCUAAACAUACCACCGAAGCUGCGGAUUCCGUAAGGAAUGGUAGGGGAGCGUUCCAAACCGCUGUGAAGCUGUACCGGAAGGAGCAGUGGAGCGYUURGAAGUGAGAAUGCCGGURUGAGUAGCGAAAAGAGGGGUGAGAAUCCCCUCCGUCGAAAGCCCAAGGUUUCCUGAGGAAGGCUCGUCCGCUCAGGGUUAGUCUGGACCUAAGCCGAGGCCGAAAGGCGUAGACGAUGGAGAACAGGUUGAUAUUCCUGUACCRCCKAUACAYCGUUUGAACRAUGGGGGGACGCAGGAGGAUAGUGACGCAUGCGGAUGGAAGUGCAUGUGCAAGUUUCAAGACCGUCUGAUUGGCAAAUCCGUCAGGCAYMAMAGUCAAGGAACGACGCGGAGUCCCGUAGGGACGUAGGUCACGAUUUCACACUGCCAAGAAAAGCCUCUAGUGAGGGGGAAGGCGCCAGUACCGUAAACCGACACAGGUAGGCGAGAUGAGAAUUCUAAGACGCGCGGGAUAACUCUCGUUAAGGAACUCGGCAAAAUGGUCCCGUAACUUCGGGAGAAGGGACGCUCUACAYRWGUAGAGCCGCAGUGAAUAGGCCCAAACGACUGUUUAGCAAAAACACAGGUCUCUGCUAAAUCGCAAGAUGACGUAUAGGGGCUGAC
This 1102-nucleotide ribosomal RNA is filed under the name Deinococcus sp. Leaf326. RNAcentral describes it as "Bacterial large subunit ribosomal RNA". It matches the Rfam family "Bacterial large subunit ribosomal RNA", at positions 746 to 1856 of the family's 2925-position model. The record is from Rfam by way of RNAcentral. Lineage: Bacteria; Thermotogati; Deinococcota; Deinococci; Deinococcales; Deinococcaceae.